Long non-coding RNA from Papaver somniferum (opium poppy), 194 nucleotides. RefSeq lists it as uncharacterized. Lineage: Eukaryota; Viridiplantae; Streptophyta; Magnoliopsida; Ranunculales; Papaveraceae. The record is from RefSeq and is a predicted model, not a curated record. The transcript has 3 exons.
UUGCCUACUACAACAAUCUCAUUAAUGCUCUGCUUGAUAAAGGUUUGCAGCCAUACUUGACAUUAUAUCAUUGGGAUCUACCGAACCAUCUUCAAGAGUCAGUGGGAGGAUGGUUAUCCGACAAAAUUGUAAAAUGUUUUGCAAUAUAUGCUGAGACUUGCUUUGCGAGUUUCGGGGACCGAGUAAAACAUUGG